Ictalurus punctatus (channel catfish) is the source of this 541-nucleotide long non-coding RNA. NCBI's taxonomy places the organism in Eukaryota, Metazoa, Chordata, Actinopteri, Siluriformes, Ictaluridae. The record is from Ensembl.
AAAAGACAGACACACCAAUGAACACAUCUUAUAUAUUGCAUUAAUCAGCUGUCUGGUCUUCCCGAAAGUCCUUCACUGUUCUGCUGGUGUAGCACACAGGGGUCCAAUGAGAGCUCCACUGGAAGAGGUGACCUUUUUGGCGGAAUAAGAUAGAGAGAGAAGAGGAGAGGGGAAUCAGGGAGAAUGGGGGACAAGGACAAAGAGCAGAGGAAUGCAUUUCCCAUAGCCUAGCUGACCUCUCAAGAGGACUGACUCUGAAUAAUUACAGUCCUGCUCACCUGCUUCCAGAAGGGGCAUGAGCAGACUAGGGAUGUCAGGAGAACCGAUACUUCGGUACCAAUUCGGUACCAACAUUCUUAAAACGUGACAGUACUUGUUUUUCUGCACUAACGUUGGAACCGAUUCUAAUAGAGGUACCAAGAUUACAAUUCUUCCGGACCUGAUCCAGGCAGCAAAUACGCGCAAGUGUUUUCGUCGGUCCACAAGUGGCAAAGAAGAAGAAGAACGCCCACAAGCACACGUAUCAGCCAGAGGAGCAUGA